RNAcentral lists this ribosomal RNA (2600 nucleotides) under Serratia marcescens LCT-SM166. RNAcentral describes it as "bacterial LSU rRNA". It matches the Rfam family "Bacterial large subunit ribosomal RNA", at positions 405 to 2925 of the family's 2925-position model. The record is from RNAcentral. Lineage: Bacteria; Pseudomonadati; Pseudomonadota; Gammaproteobacteria; Enterobacterales; Yersiniaceae.
UCGAUGAGUAGGGCGGGACACGUGACAUCCUGUCUGAAUAUGGGGGGACCAUCCUCCAAGGCUAAAUACUCCUGACUGACCGAUAGUGAACCAGUACCGUGAGGGAAAGGCGAAAAGAACCCCGGCGAGGGGAGUGAAAUAGAACCUGAAACCGUGUACGUACAAGCAGUGGGAGCACCUUCGUGGUGUGACUGCGUACCUUUUGUAUAAUGGGUCAGCGACUUAUAUUUUGUAGCAAGGUUAACCGUAUAGGGGAGCCGUAGGGAAACCGAGUCUUAACUGGGCGAUUAGUUGCAAGGUAUAGACCCGAAACCCGGUGAUCUAGCCAUGGGCAGGUUGAAGGUUGGGUAACACUAACUGGAGGACCGAACCGACUAAUGUUGAAAAAUUAGCGGAUGACUUGUGGCUGGGGGUGAAAGGCCAAUCAAACCGGGAGAUAGCUGGUUCUCCCCGAAAGCUAUUUAGGUAGCGCCUCGUGAACUCAUCUUCGGGGGUAGAGCACUGUUUCGGCUAGGGGGCCAUCCCGGCUUACCAAACCGAUGCAAACUCCGAAUACCGAAGAAUGUUAUCACGGGAGACACACGGCGGGUGCUAACGUCCGUCGUGAAGAGGGAAACAACCCAGACCGCCAGCUAAGGUCCCAAAGUCAUGGUUAAGUGGGAAACGAUGUGGGAAGGCAUAGACAGCCAGGAUGUUGGCUUAGAAGCAGCCAUCAUUUAAAGAAAGCGUAAUAGCUCACUGGUCGAGUCGGCCUGCGCGGAAGAUGUAACGGGGCUAAACCAUGCACCGAAGCUGCGGCAGCGACGCUUAGCGUUGUUGGGUAGGGGAGCGUUCUGUAAGCCGUUGAAGGUGGCCUGUGAGGGUUGCUGGAGGUAUCAGAAGUGCGAAUGCUGACAUAAGUAACGAUAAAGCGGGUGAAAAGCCCGCUCGCCGGAAGACCAAGGGUUCCUGUCCAACGUUAAUCGGGGCAGGGUGAGUCGACCCCUAAGGCGAGGCUGAAAAGCGUAGUCGAUGGGAAACAGGUUAAUAUUCCUGUACUUGGUGUUACUGCGAAGGGGGGACGGAGAAGGCUAGGCUAGCCGGGCGACGGUUGUCCCGGUUUAAGCGUGUAGGGGGUGUGACCUGGUAAAUCCGGUUGCAUGCUAACCCUGAGGCGUGAUGACGAUGCACUACGGUGCAGAAGUAGUUGAUGCCCUGCUUCCAGGAAAAUCCUCUAAGCUCCAGGUAACAUUAAAUCGUACCCCAAACCGACACAGGUGGUCAGGUAGAGAAUACCAAGGCGCUUGAGAGAACUCGGGUGAAGGAACUAGGCAAAAUGGUGCCGUAACUUCGGGAGAAGGCACGCUGGCAUGUAGGUGAAGUCCCUCGCGGAUGGAGCUGAAGCCAGUCGAAGAUACCAGCUGGCUGCAACUGUUUAAUAAAAACACAGCACUGUGCAAACACGAAAGUGGACGUAUACGGUGUGACGCCUGCCCGGUGCUGGAAGGUUAAUUGAUGGGGUCAGCCGCAAGGCGAAGCUCUUGAUCGAAGCCCCAGUAAACGGCGGCCGUAACUAUAACGGUCCUAAGGUAGCGAAAUUCCUUGUCGGGUAAGUUCCGACCUGCACGAAUGGCGUAAUGAUGGCCAGGCUGUCUCCACCCGAGACUCAGUGAAAUUGAACUCGCUGUGAAGAUGCAGUGUACCCGCGGCAAGACGGAAAGACCCCGUGAACCUUUACUAUAGCUUGACACUGAACAUUGAGCCUUGAUGUGUAGGAUAGGUGGGAGGCUUUGAAGCGUGGACGCCAGUCUGCGUGGAGCCAUCCUUGAAAUACCACCCUUUAAUGUUUGAUGUUCUAACUCGGCCCCAUAAUCUGGGGUGAGGACAGUGUCUGGUGGGUAGUUUGACUGGGGCGGUCUCCUCCCGUGAUCCGGGGUGAGGACAGUGUCUGGUGGGUAGUUUGACUGGGGCGGUCUCCUCCCAAAGAGUAACGGAGGAGCACGAAGGUUAGCUAAUCACGGUCGGACAUCGUGAGGUUAGUGCAAAGGCAUAAGCUAGCUUGACUGCGAGAGUGACGGCUCGAGCAGGUACGAAAGUAGGUCUUAGUGAUCCGGUGGUUCUGAAUGGAAGGGCCAUCGCUCAACGGAUAAAAGGUACUCCGGGGAUAACAGGCUGAUACCGCCCAAGAGUUCAUAUCGACGGCGGUGUUUGGCACCUCGAUGUCGGCUCAUCACAUCCUGGGGCUGAAGUAGGUCCCAAGGGUAUGGCUGUUCGCCAUUUAAAGUGGUACGCGAGCUGGGUUUAGAACGUCGUGAGACAGUUCGGUCCCUAUCUGCCGUGGGCGUUGGAAGAUUGAGAGGGGUUGCUCCUAGUACGAGAGGACCGGAGUGAACGCACCACUGGUGUUCGGGUUGUCAUGCCAAUGGCAUUGCCCGGUAGCUAAGUGCGGAAAAGAUAAGCGCUGAAAGCAUCUAAGCGCGAAACUUGCCUCAAGAUGAGUCUUCCCUGGGCCUUCAAGGCCCCUGAAGGAACGUUUAAGACUAAGACGUUGAUAGGCUGGGUGUGUAAGUGCAGCGAUGCAUUGAGCUAACCAGUACUAAUGAUCCGUGAGGCUUAACCUU